This 462-nucleotide ribosomal RNA is filed under the name uncultured bacterium. RNAcentral describes it as "partial 16S ribosomal RNA". It matches the Rfam family "Bacterial small subunit ribosomal RNA", at positions 28 to 506 of the family's 1533-position model. The record is from RNAcentral.
GACGAACGCUGGCGGCGUGCUUAACACAUGCAAGUCGAACGGUGAACCUCUUCGGAGGGGAUCAGUGGCGAACGGGUGAGUAACACGUGGGCAACCUGCUCCCGGCCCUGGGAUAACUCCAAGAAAUCGGGGCUAAUACCGGAUGUUCACCGCUUCCCGCAUGGGUGGUGGUGAAAAGGGUUUCCGGCUGGGGAUGGGCCCGCGGCCUAUCAGCUUGUUGGUGGGGUAGUGGCCUACCAAGGCGACGACGGGUAGCCGGCCUGGGAGGGUGACCAGCCCCACUGGGCUGGGGGAGGGGCCCAGACGGAUAAGGGGGGAAGCAGCGGGAAAUUGUGCGCACUAGGCGGAAGCCUGAAGCAGAGACGCCGCGUGGGGGAAGACGGCCUUCGGGUUGUAAACGUCUUUGAGCAGGGACGAAGCGAAAGUGACGGUACCUGCAGAAGAAGACCCGGCCAAAUACGU